Molecule: non-coding RNA, 994 nt
Organism: Carica papaya (papaya)
Lineage: Eukaryota; Viridiplantae; Streptophyta; Magnoliopsida; Brassicales; Caricaceae
Source: RefSeq, a predicted model, not a curated record
AAAAAUCCAGCUACACAGAGAAGAUAAAAAGGAAAAAAACCCAGGUUUGGUAAACCUUCCAAAAUUAAGCAUGGGAAAUCAAAGGGGCUACUGUAAUCCGCGUUCUAUAUGUUGUUUCGCAAAGAAAAAAGAAGGGGUAGAGAAGACAAAUGGACAAAAGUGGAGUGGCCUGAAGGAGGAGGGAUAAACGAGUAGUAGUACAUAAAGAUUAAAGCUUGACAAGGAGGCACAAAUGGAGAAAUGUUGAGAGAGAGAAAGUGAGAAAAGGGAGUUACUUACAUGACAUCUGUAAACCAGUUUCAAACCCUAGUCACUGAUUUUCUGGUCCUUGUUCUUCUUCGCGUUUUGAUCGGUACAUGCAUUUGGUGAGGUUUGGAGAAGGGAAUGUGCCGUUGUGAAUGCUUGUUUCUUCUGGGUUUUGAUCCGACUGAAAGGUGAGCUCCUCCGCUGUGGUAAUUCUGGGUUUGGAGUUUAUCAGUGAUUUUUUUUUGAAUGAUGGUGAGCUGAUUAAUUUUUGUUCAAUUUUCACGAAUUCUCUUGAUCUCCUUCUGAUCGACUAACUGGUUGGUGUUUUGUUGGUCAUUUUUUUUCUUUGAGGAAUUCAGCGAUUUCUCUCUCUUUCUGUAUCCAACAUGAACGCCAUUAACGGAUUUUACAAGCUUUGUCUUUGUUUAAAGUAUUCAUCAGAUUCAAAAUUUCAAUUGAGUGUUGAUCUUGGUCAUAUAUUUUUGAGAAAUUUCAAAGUUUUAAUCCAUCUUACUGUUGUUUUUCUUUACUGUGAUACUUGUGAAGGAAUUGCAGUGGAGGAGUAUAAUGUUUAGUGUGAUAAUGGGCGCUUGGUUUUAGAUGAAAGCAUAAUAGACAAAUGCAUACUUCUAUAGAUAGGUUAAAACUUGUCAUGCAUCUAGGUUUAUUGGGUAUUUCUUUGCUACUUGUUUACUGACAUAAACGUGAUUUUUAUCUUAGCUUUUUUCCAUUUCUGUCGUCAACGUUG